CAAGAUCUCAACAAGAUGAACAACUUUGUAGAAGAAAUCAAAAGCAAAUACUCAAUAGAUUAAGAGAAAUCUGGAUUACAAAGAUGAAGAAACACUAAUUGUUCUGCAGAAAAUAACUUAGACAGAAUAAAAACUUAGUCUGAAAAUUAUGAGAAACAACCUAUUUAUAGCAAAUACUAGGAAACCCUAAAUCACAAGACGACAAAGUAUUAGGGCGGUUUACGGAGAUACUCGACCCUUGUGAUCGAGUAGAGAGGUUGAAUAAAGUUGGCGCCUUGCGAUUUUCUUGCUUUGGGCAUGUUGUGAUCGAGCAUUUGGGUCGAGUAUGUGCUCGCGUUCUGCUUCAUCCUCUUCUCUUCCUUAUGCUCAAUGUCUGGUUGAGUGGGGAUCUGAGAAGACUCUGAAGCUUGUGAUCAAGAGGCUGCGUGGAGGUGGUGAUCGAGCAUCUGCUCGAGUGAUCUGAGGGAGGCUUGCUGGGGAAUGCUCGACUGACACGAUCGAGUAUGUCGACAGAGGAUGCGAUCAAGUGUUGUGGCAGGUUGUGGUCGAGCAUCUGCUUCCGUGGCCAGGAUGAUGGUACUCGACCUCGUGAUCGAGUAUGUGGUCGAGUGGUGGCGUUGAAGUGGUGAUCGAGU
This 635-nucleotide long non-coding RNA is filed under the name Arabidopsis lyrata. Its description in RNAcentral is "long non-coding RNA (ALYR_LNC000517)". The record is from RNAcentral. Lineage: Eukaryota; Viridiplantae; Streptophyta; Magnoliopsida; Brassicales; Brassicaceae.